CAGCCGCCGCGGGAAUACGAAUGGGGCUAGCGUUGCUCGGAAUUACUGGGCGUAAAGGGAGCGUAGGCGGACAUUUAAUUCAGGGGUGAAAUCCCAGAGCUCAACUCUGGAACUGCCUUUGAUACUGGGUGUCUUGAGUGUGAUAGAGGUAUGUGGAACUCCGAGUGUAGAGGUGAAAUUCGUAGAUAUUCGGAAGAACACCAGUGGCGAAGGCGACAUACUGGAUCAUUACUGACGCUGAGGCUCGAAAGCGUGGGGAGCAAACAGGAUUAGAUACCCCCGUAGUCCCUGUCUCUUAUAC
This 301-nucleotide ribosomal RNA is filed under the name uncultured bacterium. RNAcentral describes it as "partial 16S ribosomal RNA". It matches the Rfam family "Bacterial small subunit ribosomal RNA", at positions 509 to 807 of the family's 1533-position model. The record is from RNAcentral.